GGGAGUAUAGCUCAGUGGUAGAGCGUCCGACUGCAGACCGGACGGUCCCCGGCUCGACCCCGGGUGCUCCCU
This 72-nucleotide transfer RNA is filed under the name Daphnia galeata. It matches the Rfam family "tRNA". From Rfam's summary of the family: Transfer RNA (tRNA) molecules are approximately 80 nucleotides in length. Their secondary structure includes four short double-helical elements and three loops (D, anti-codon, and T loops). The record is from Rfam by way of RNAcentral. Lineage: Eukaryota; Metazoa; Arthropoda; Branchiopoda; Diplostraca; Daphniidae.